GAAAUGCGAUAAGUAAUGUGAAUUGCAGAAUUCAGUGAAUCAUCGAAUCUGUGAACGCACAUUGCGCCCGCCAGUAUUCUGGCGGGCAUGCCUGUCCGAGCGUCAUUUCAACCAUCAAGCCCCCGGGCUUGUGUUGGGGACCUGCGGCUGCCCGCAGGCCCUGAAAACCAGUGGCGGGCUCGCUGUCACACCGAGCGUAGUAGCAAUCACCUCGCUCAGGGCGUGCUGCGGGUUCCGGCCGUUAAACAGCCUUACAAAACCCAAGGUUGACCUCGGAUCAGGUAGGAAGACCCGCUGAACUUAAGC
This 306-nucleotide unclassified non-coding RNA is filed under the name plant metagenome. RNAcentral's name for it is "partial contains 5.8S ribosomal RNA, internal transcribed spacer 2, and large subunit ribosomal RNA". The stretch from base 1 to 105 matches the Rfam family "5.8S ribosomal RNA", at positions 50 to 154 of the family's 154-position model. The record is from RNAcentral.